Molecule: long non-coding RNA, 239 nt
Filed under: Manihot esculenta (cassava)
Lineage: Eukaryota; Viridiplantae; Streptophyta; Magnoliopsida; Malpighiales; Euphorbiaceae
Description: long non-coding RNA (MESC_LNC011199)
Source: RNAcentral
CCAGUUUUUGUGGAGGGAAGAUGCCUGUCCGCCGACCUUGUGGUUCUAGAUUUGAUAGAUUUUGACGUCAUUCUAGGGAUGGAUUGGCUAUCUACCCAUGGUGCUACCUUGGAUUGCAGAGACAAGGUAGUCAGGUUCAGAUGUCAGGAUGGGUCAGAGGUUGUCUUCAGAGGAGACAGAAGGGGUACACCUAGAGGUUUGAUAUCAGCCCUACAGGCUCGUAGGCUGCUCAGGAGAGG